GUGGGGAAUAUUGGACAAUGGGCGAAAGCCUGAUCCAGCCAUGCCGCGUGUGUGAAGAAGGUCUUCGGAUUGUAAAGCACUUUAAGUUGGGAGGAAGGGCAGUAAGUUAAUACCUUGCUGUUUUGACGUUACCGACAGAAUAAGCACCGGCUAACUUCGUGCCAGCAGCCGCGGUAAUACGAAGGGUGCAAGCGUUAAUCGGAAUUACUGGGCGUAAAGCGCGCGUAGGUGGUUUUGUAAGUUGGAGGUGAAAUCCCCGGGCUCAACCUGGGAACUGCCUCCAAAACUGCAUGACUAGAGUACGGUAGAGGGUAGUGGAAUUUCCUGUGUAGCGGUGAAAUGCGUAGAUAUAGGAAGGAACACCAGUGGCGAAGGCGACCACCUGGACUGAUACUGACACUGAGGUGCGAAAGCGUGGGGAGCAAACAGGAUUAGAAACCCCAGUAGUCC
This 450-nucleotide ribosomal RNA is filed under the name uncultured bacterium. RNAcentral's name for it is "partial 16S ribosomal RNA". It matches the Rfam family "Bacterial small subunit ribosomal RNA", at positions 354 to 796 of the family's 1533-position model. The record is from RNAcentral.